This 23-nucleotide non-coding RNA is filed under the name Rattus norvegicus (Norway rat). The record is from RNAcentral. Lineage: Eukaryota; Metazoa; Chordata; Mammalia; Rodentia; Muridae.
UGUACACAGACACCACAUGGCCA